RNAcentral lists this ribosomal RNA (232 nucleotides) under uncultured bacterium. RNAcentral describes it as "partial 16S ribosomal RNA". It matches the Rfam family "Bacterial small subunit ribosomal RNA", at positions 102 to 334 of the family's 1533-position model. The record is from RNAcentral.
ACGGGUGAGUAACGCGUAUCCAACCUGCCGUCUACUCUUGGACAGCCUUCUGAAAGGAAGAUUAAUACAAGAUGGCAUCAUGAGUCCGCAUGUUCACAUGAUUAAAGGUAUUCCGGUAGACGAUGGGGAUGCGUUCCAUUAGAUAGUAGGCGGGGUAACGGCCCACCUAGUCUUCGAUGGAUAGGGGUUCUGAGAGGAAGGUCCCCCACAUUGGAACUGAGACACGGACCAA